CCCUUAGAUGUCCUGGGCCGCACGCGCGCUACACUGAUGCAUUCAACGAGUUUUACCUUGGCCGAGAGGCCUGGGCAAUCUUUUAAACCUGCAUCGUGAUAGGGAUAGAUUAUUGCAAUUAUUAAUCUUGAACGAGGAAUUCCUAGUAAACGCAAAUCAUCAAUUUGCAUUGAUUACGUCCCUGCCCUUUGUACACACCGCCCGUCGCACCUACCGAUUGAAUGAUCCGGUGAAAUCUCGGGAUUGUGGCCAGUUCACUUUAUUGGGAGUUGGCUGCGAGAACUUGCUUAAACCUUAUCAUUUAGAGGAAGGUGAAGUCGUAACA
RNAcentral lists this ribosomal RNA (325 nucleotides) under uncultured eukaryote. Its description in RNAcentral is "partial 18S ribosomal RNA". It matches the Rfam family "Eukaryotic small subunit ribosomal RNA", at positions 1470 to 1796 of the family's 1831-position model. The record is from RNAcentral.